AUUGAACGCUGGCGGCAUGCCUUACACAUGCAAGUCGAACGGCAGCAUGAUCUAGCUUGCUAGAUUGAUGGCGAGUGGCGAACGGGUGAGUAAUACAUCGGAACGUGCCCUGUAGUGGGGGAUAACUAGUCGAAAGAUUAGCUAAUACCGCAUACGACCUGAGGGUGAAAGUGGGGGACCGCAAGGCCUCAUGCUAUAGGAGCGGCCGAUGUCUGAUUAGCUAGUUGGUGAGGUAAAGGCUCACCAAGGCGACGAUCAGUAGCUGGUCUGAGAGGACGAUCAGCCACACUGGGACUGAGACACGGCCCAGACUCCUACGGGAGGCAGCAGUGGGGAAUUUUGGACAAUGGGCGAAAGCCUGAUCCAGCAAUGCCGCGUGUGUGAAGAAGGCCUUCGCGUUGUAAAGCACUUUUGUCCGGAAAGAAAUGGCUCUGGUUAAUACCUGGGGUCGAUGACGGUACCGGAAGAAUAAGGACCGGCUAACUACGUG
RNAcentral lists this ribosomal RNA (490 nucleotides) under uncultured bacterium. RNAcentral describes it as "partial 16S ribosomal RNA". It matches the Rfam family "Bacterial small subunit ribosomal RNA", at positions 30 to 507 of the family's 1533-position model. The record is from RNAcentral.